This 2347-nucleotide ribosomal RNA is filed under the name Rathayibacter sp. AY1E9. RNAcentral describes it as "bacterial LSU rRNA". It matches the Rfam family "Bacterial large subunit ribosomal RNA", at positions 1 to 2162 of the family's 2925-position model. The record is from RNAcentral. Lineage: Bacteria; Bacillati; Actinomycetota; Actinomycetes; Micrococcales; Microbacteriaceae.
GCAAGUUCAUAAGAGCAAACGGUGAAUGCCUUGGCAUCUGGAGCCGAAGAAGGACGUCGUAAUCUGCGAUAAGCCUCGGGGAGCUGAUAAACGAGCUGUGAUCCGAGGAUUUCCGAAUGGGGAAACCCCGCCAGGCCCCUUGUGGUGACCUGGUGACUCCCGCCUGAAUAUAUAGGGCGGGUAGAGGGAACGUGGGGAAGUGAAACAUCUCAGUACCCACAGGAAGAGAAAACAACAGUGAUUCCGUCAGUAGUGGCGAGCGAACGCGGAAGAGGCUAAACCGAGUCAUGUGUGAUACCCGGCAGGGGUUGCAUGGCCGGGGUUGUGGGACUUUUCGUUCCGGUCUGCCGGCCGGUGAACGUUACAGCGCAUCAUAGACGAACAGGUUUGAACGCCUGGCCAGAGCGGGUGCGAGCCCCGUAGUCGAAAUGGUGUUAUGGCGUGAAGAGUAUCCCAAGUAGCACGGGGCCCGAGAAAUCCCGUGUGAAUCUGUCAGGACCACCUGAUAAGCCUAAAUACUCCCAGAUGACCGAUAGCGGACAAGUACCGUGAGGGAAAGGUGAAAAGUACCCCGGGAGGGGAGUGAAAUAGUACCUGAAACCGUUUGCUUACAAACCGUCGGAGCCUCCUUGUAGGGGUGACGGCGUGCCUUUUGAAGAAUGAGCCUGCGAGUUAGUGCUCUGUGGCGAGGUUAACCCGUGUGGGGCAGCCGUAGCGAAAGCGAGUCCGAAUAGGGCGAUUCAGUCGCAGGGUCUAGACCCGAAGCGAAGUGAUCUAUCCAUGGCCAGGUUGAAGCGACGGUAAGACGUCGUGGAGGACCGAACCCACUUCAGUUGAAAAUGGAGGGGAUGAGCUGUGGAUAGGGGUGAAAGGCCAAUCAAACUUCGUGAUAGCUGGUUCUCUCCGAAAUGCAUUUAGGUGCAGCGUUGCGUGUUUCUUGCCGGAGGUAGAGCUACUGGAUGGCCGAUGGGGCCCAAAAGCUUACUGACGUCAGCCAAACUCCGAAUGCCGGUAAGUGAGAGCGCAGCAGUGAGACUGUGGGGGAUAAGCUUCAUAGUCGAGAGGGAAACAACCCAGACCACCAACUAAGGUCCCUAAGCGCGUGCUAAGUGGGAAAGGAUGUGGAGUUGCACAGACAACCAGGAGGUUGGCUUAGAAGCAGCCACCCUUGAAAGAGUGCGUAAUAGCUCACUGGUCAAGUGAUUCCGCGCCGACAAUGUAACGGGGCUCAAGCACGCCACCGAAGUUGUGGCAUUGACAUUAGUGGUAGGCCUUCGUGGUCCAGCCGUGUUGAUGGGUAGGAGAGCGUCGUGUGGCGAGUGAAGCGGCGGUGUGAACCAGCCGUGGAUGCCACACGAGUGAGAAUGCAGGCAUGAGUAGCGAAAGACGGGUGAGAAACCCGUCCUCCGGAAGACCAAGGGUUCCAGGGUCAAGCUAAUCUUCCCUGGGUAAGUCGGGACCUAAGGCGAGGCCGACAGGCGUAGUCGAUGGACAACGGGUUGAUAUUCCCGUACCGGCGAAGAACCGCCCAAGACAAUCCAGUAGUGCUAAGUAUCUGAAUCCCUUUGAUGGAUCCCUUCGGGGUGAAGCGUUGGGCCUAGCGUACGACCCCGUGCUGGUGCGUUUAGCGUAUUAACAGGUGUGACGCAGGAAGGUAGCCGAGCCGGGCGAUGGUUGUCCCGGUCUAAGGAUGUAGGGCGAACGAUAGGCAAAUCCGUCGUUCAUAUAGCCUGAGAUCUGAUGGGUAGACGCAAGUCGAAAUCGGUGAUCCUAUGCUGCCAAGAAAAGCAUCGACGCGAGGUUCUAGCUGCCCGUACCCCAAACCGACUCAGGUGGUCAGGUAGAGAAUACUAAGGAGAUCGAGAGAAUCGUGGUUAAGGAACUCGGCAAAAUGCCCCCGUAACUUCGGGAGAAGGGGGGCCUGAGGCGUGAACGGACUUGCUCCGGGAGCGUUCGAUGGCCGCAGAGACCAGUGGGAAGCGACUGUUUACUAAAAACACAGGUCCGUGCUAAGUCGCAAGACGAUGUAUACGGACUGACGCCUGCCCGGUGCUGGAAGGUUAAGAGGAACGGUUAGCCGCAAGGCGAAGCUGAGAAUUUAAGCCCCAGUAAACGGCGGUGGUAACUAUAACCAUCCUAAGGUAGCGAAAUUCCUUGUCGGGUAAGUUCCGACCUGCACGAAUGGCGUAACGACUUCCCAGCUGUCUCAACCGCGAACUCGGCGAAAUUGCAUUACGAGUAAAGAUGCUCGUUACGCGCAGCAGGACGGAAAGACCCCGUGACCUUUACUAUAGUUUGGUAUUGGUGUUCGGUGUGGCUUGUGUAGGAUAGGUGGGAGACGUUGAAG